This 21-nucleotide non-coding RNA is filed under the name Caenorhabditis elegans. Lineage: Eukaryota; Metazoa; Nematoda; Chromadorea; Rhabditida; Rhabditidae. The record is from RNAcentral.
UCUCCUACUCACUCUGGUUUU